Molecule: ribosomal RNA, 319 nt
Filed under: Podarcis peloponnesiacus (Peloponnese wall lizard)
Lineage: Eukaryota; Metazoa; Chordata; Lepidosauria; Squamata; Lacertidae
Description: partial large subunit ribosomal RNA
Rfam family: Bacterial large subunit ribosomal RNA
Source: RNAcentral
AAACCAAAACCACCAAACAUGCUUCCUGGUUUUUUAGUUGGGGCGACUUUGGAGCAAAAAAAACCCUCCAAAACAUAAAUCCAUUUAUUAAGACUAACACAUCAAAAAUAAUAUCAUAGACCCAGCAGUACCUAUUUACUGCCUGACCAAUGAACCAAGUUACCCCAGGGAUAACAGCGCCAUCCUCUUCUAGAGUCCCUAUCGACAAGAGGGUUUACGACCUCGAUGUUGGAUCAGGGCACCCCUAUAGUGCAGCCGCUAUAAAAGGUUCGUUUGUUCAACGAUUAAAGUCCUACGUGAUCUGAGUUCAGACCGGACG